GCAUGGAGCUGCUAUUGGUACAGAUCUUGGUGGUAGUAGCAAAUAAUCGAAUGAGACCUUGGAGGACUGAAGUGGAGAAGGGUUUCGUGUGAACAGUGGUUGAUCACGAGUUAGUCGGUCCUAAGUUCAAGGCGAAAGCCGAAAAUUUUCAAGUAAAAAUAAAAUUUACUAUAUGUAAAAAUUAUAUACUUGAAUAAUUUUGAACGAAAGGGAAUACGGUUCCAAUUCCGUAACCUGUUGAGUAUCCGUUUGUUAUUAAAUAUGGGCCUCGUGCUCAUCCUGGCAACAGGAACGACCAUAAAGAAGCCGUCGAGAGAUAUCGGAAGAGUUUUCUUUUCUGUUUUAUAGUCGUACUACCAUGGAAGUCUUUCGCAGAGAGAUAUGGUAGAUGGGCUAGAAGAGCAUGACAUAUACUGUUGUGUCGAUAUUUUCUCCUCGGACCUUGAAAAUUUAUGGUGGGGAUACGCAAACUUCUCAACAGGCCGUACCAAUAUCCGCAGCUGGUCUCCAAGGUGAAGAGUCUCUAGUCGAUAGAAUAAUGUAGGUAAGGGAAGUCGGCAAAUUAGAUCCGUAACUUCGGGAUAAGGAUUGGCUCUGAAGAUUGAGAUAGUCGGGCUUGAUUGGGAAACAAUAAUAUGGUUUAUGUGCUCGUUCUGGGUAAAUAGAGUUUCGAUCAUUUAUGGUUGUAACUUGUUCCCCGGAUAGUUAGUUACGUAUCCAAUUGUGGAACUUUCUUGCUAAAAUUUUUAAGAAUACUAGUUGGGUCAAACCAAUUAGUUCUUAUUAAUUAUAACGAUUAUCAAUUAACAAUCAAUUCAGAACUGGCACGGACUUGGGGAAUCCGACUGUCUAAUUAAAACAAAGCAUUGUGAUGGCCCUAGCGGGUGUUGACACAAUGUGAUUUCUGCCCAGUGCUCUGAAUGUCAAAGUGAAGAAAUUCAAGUAAGCGCGGGUCAACGGCGGGAGUAACUAUGACUCUCUUAAGGUAGCCAAAUGCCUCGUCAUCUAAUUAGUGACGCGCAUGAAUGGAUUAACGAGAUUCCUACUGUCCCUAUCUACUAUCUAGCGAAACCACAGCCAAGGGAACGGGCUUGGAAUAAUUAGCGGGGAAAGAAGACCCUUUUGAGCUUGACUCUAAUCUGGCAGUGUAAGGAGACAUAAGAGGUGUAGAAUAAGUGGGAGAUAUUAGACUUCGGUUUGGUAUCGCCAAUGAAAUACCACUACUCUUAUUGUUUCCUUACUUACUUGAUUAAAUGGAACGUGUAUCAUUUCCUAGCCAUUAUACGGAUAUAUUUAUUAUAUCUUAUGGUAUUGGGUUUUGAUGCAAGCUUCUUGAUCAAAGUAUCACGAGUUUGUUAUAUAAUCGCAAACAAAUUCUUUAAUGAGAGAUGCAUUUACUGUAUUAUUGAUUUGAAAAUUUGGUAUAACUCCAAUUACUCAGGUAUGAUCCAAUUCAAGGACAUUGCCAGGUAGGGAGUUUGACUGGGGCGGUACAUCUCUCAAAUAAUAACGGAGGUGUCCCAAGGCCAGCUCAGUGCGGACAGAAACCACACAUAGAGCAAAAGGGCAAAUGCUGACUUGAUCUCGCUGUUCAGUACACACAGGGACAGCAAAAGCUCGGCCUAUCGAUCCUUUUGGUUUAAAGAGUUUUUAACAAGAGGUGUCAGAAAAGUUACCAUAGGGAUAACUGGCUUGUGGCGGCCAAGCGUUCAUAGCGACGUCGCUUUUUGAUCCUUCGAUGUCGGCUCUUCCUAUCAUUGUGAAGCAAAAUUCACCAAGCGUUGGAUUGUUCACCCAUGCAAGGGAACGUGAGCUGGGUUUAGACCGUCGUGAGACAGGUUAGUUUUACCCUACUAAUGACAAAACGUUGUUGCGACAGCAUUCCUGCGUAGUACGAGAGGAACCGCAGGUACGGACCAAUGGCACAAUACUUGUUCGAGCGAACAGUGGUAUGACGCUACGUCCGUUGGAUUAUGCCUGAACGCCUCUAAGGUCGUAUCCGUGCUGGACUGCAAUGAUAAAUAAGGGGCAAUUUGCAUUGUAUGGCUUCUAAACCAUUUAAAGUUUAUUAUUUAUAUUUUAAACGACAAUGGAUGUGAUGCCAAUGUAAUUUGU
Molecule: ribosomal RNA, 2115 nt
Filed under: Drosophila ananassae
Lineage: Eukaryota; Metazoa; Arthropoda; Insecta; Diptera; Drosophilidae
Description: eukaryotic LSU rRNA
Rfam family: Eukaryotic large subunit ribosomal RNA
Source: RNAcentral